ACGAACGCUGGCGGCAGGCUUAACACAUGCAAGUCGAACGCUCAUAGCAAUAUGGGAGUGGCGCACGGGUGAGUAACGCGUGGGAACGUGCCUUUUAGUUUGGAAUAACACCGGGAAACUGGUGCUAAUGCCAAAUACGCCCUUCGGGGGAAAGAUUUAUCGCUAAAAGAUCGGCCCGCGUCAGAUUAGCUAGUUGGUGGGGUAAUGGCCUACCAAGGCUCCGAUCUGUAGCUGUUCUGAGAGGAAGAUCAGCCACACUGGAACUGAGACACGGUCCAGACUCCUACGGGAGGCAGCAGUGGGGAAUAUUGGACAAUGGGGGAAACCCUGAUCCAGCCAUGCCGCGUGAGUGAUGAAGGCCUUAGGGUUGUAAAGCUCUUUUACCAGGGAAGAUGAUGACGGUACCUGGAGAAUAAGCACCGGCUAACUUCGUGCCAGCAGCCGCGGUAAUU
This 452-nucleotide ribosomal RNA is filed under the name uncultured bacterium. RNAcentral describes it as "bacterial SSU rRNA". It matches the Rfam family "Bacterial small subunit ribosomal RNA", at positions 29 to 525 of the family's 1533-position model. The record is from RNAcentral.